RNAcentral lists this transfer RNA (82 nucleotides) under Streptomyces djakartensis. RNAcentral describes it as "tRNA-Ser". Lineage: Bacteria; Bacillati; Actinomycetota; Actinomycetes; Kitasatosporales; Streptomycetaceae. The record is from RNAcentral.
GGCGCCCCGGGGCGCCCGGGUCACGGCCACGCCGCUCGACACGGCCGGCUACCGGGGCCGGGUCGCCGCCGGCGGACGCCAC